AGGGACUUAGGAAUACAUCAAACCAGGGGCCUUCAAAGCCUCAAACAAGAGACACCU
This 57-nucleotide transfer RNA is filed under the name Calotes paulus (small forest lizard). Its description in RNAcentral is "Oriocalotes paulus partial tRNA-Trp". The record is from RNAcentral. Lineage: Eukaryota; Metazoa; Chordata; Lepidosauria; Squamata; Agamidae.